UUCCUAAUUAAGUGUUUAAGCCUAUAAAAAGGCCUGAUCAGUGGAACAGGGGACGUGUGGUGGCCUGUGGUCUCACAGGGUGGCUCAAUUUUUUCGUGAACGCAUGGACUGCUUCGCACGAAAAUCAGAGAAUAGAAUCCCGUGAAGAGAGAGACAUGCUGAGAGGAGCAGAGCUCCUGGACAGCGGACAGCGAUCACUUCAGGGGUUCAAAGAGGUCUUCCAAGAGAGCUUUUGUGAGGGAGAAUUUCUUGUGAGGAAAAAAUUGGGUGUACGAAGAUUGAGGGUG
Molecule: long non-coding RNA, 287 nt
Filed under: Elaeis guineensis (African oil palm)
Lineage: Eukaryota; Viridiplantae; Streptophyta; Magnoliopsida; Arecales; Arecaceae
Description: long non-coding RNA (EGUI_LNC027077)
Source: RNAcentral